GUAGGGAAUCUUCCACAAUGGACGAAAGUCUGAUGGAGCAACGCCGCGUGAGUGAAGAAGGUUCUCGGAUCGUAAAACUCUGUUGUGAGGGAAGAACAAGUACCGGAGUAACUGCCGGUACCUUGACGGUACCUCAUUAGAAAGCCACGGCUAACUACGUGCCAGCAGCCGCGGUAAUACGUAGGUGGCAAGCGUUGUCCGGAAUCAUUGGGCGUAAAGCGCGCGCAGGCGGUCCCUUAAGUCUGAUGUGAAAGCCCACGGCUCAACCGUGGAGGGUCAUUGGAAACUGGGGGACUUGAGUGCAGAAGAGGAAAGCGGAAUUCCAAGUGUAGCGGUGAAAUGCGUAGAGAUUUGGAGGAACACCAGUGGCGAAGGCGGCUUUCUGGUCUGUAACUGACGCUGAGGCGCGAAAGCGUGGGGAGCAAACAGGAUUAGAUACCCCGGUAGUCC
RNAcentral lists this ribosomal RNA (450 nucleotides) under uncultured bacterium. Its description in RNAcentral is "partial 16S ribosomal RNA". It matches the Rfam family "Bacterial small subunit ribosomal RNA", at positions 354 to 796 of the family's 1533-position model. The record is from RNAcentral.